Molecule: transfer RNA, 84 nt
Filed under: bacterium
Lineage: Bacteria
Also listed under: 2 other names
Description: tRNA-Leu
Rfam family: tRNA
About the family: Transfer RNA (tRNA) molecules are approximately 80 nucleotides in length. Their secondary structure includes four short double-helical elements and three loops (D, anti-codon, and T loops). Further hydrogen bonds mediate the characteristic L-shaped molecular structure. tRNAs have two regions of fundamental functional importance: the anti-codon, which is responsible for specific mRNA codon recognition, and the 3' end, to which the tRNAs corresponding amino acid is attached (by aminoacyl-tRNA synthetases). tRNAs cope with the degeneracy of the genetic code in two manners: having more than one tRNA (with a specific anti-codon) for a particular amino acid; and 'wobble' base-pairing, i.e. permitting non-standard base-pairing at the 3rd anti-codon position.
Source: RNAcentral
GCCGGGGUGGCGGAAUUGGGAGACGCACCAGGUUCAGGACCUGGCGCUGGCAACAGCAUAGGGGUUCAAAUCCCCUCUCCGGCA